Molecule: non-coding RNA, 31 nt
Filed under: Mus musculus (house mouse)
Lineage: Eukaryota; Metazoa; Chordata; Mammalia; Rodentia; Muridae
Source: RNAcentral
UGCAGCAAUCGCCCCUCAAACCUACCCUCCU